RNAcentral lists this unclassified non-coding RNA (928 nucleotides) under Zea mays. Its description in RNAcentral is "misc RNA Zm00001eb072340". The record is from RNAcentral. Lineage: Eukaryota; Viridiplantae; Streptophyta; Magnoliopsida; Poales; Poaceae.
CAUAAAAACAAUAAUAUCAAUAUAUGGAUAUAGAUUAAUAUCUCGAACGAAAAAGUCAAGAAUUCAAAAUCUGUUGUGAUAAGCAGAGAAAUGCACAACCGGGGGACCACUAACAUAUUUACAUUUGCUGCUGAUCGUAAUUACGAGUACCAAACAAAACUGAGAACACCAGGAACACAGAACAACAGACUAAACCAGCAAAUCAGCGCGGCAAGCGACCGCACCGCACGCACGUUCGAUCGAUCAGCCAACAACAACAACGCCACCUAAAUCGAGGAACGAGCAACAGAGCAGACUCACCCCGCGAUCGCCUUCACGGCCUCACGCUGUCCCGCCAAUCGCCGCCGGGGCGGGGCUUCCGGCUCCGCAGCGCCUUGAUCUUUCCUGCGAUGAGCCUCCCCCAUCGAGGCCGGCGCUCCGAGGCCGGCGCCGUCGUUGUCACCGACCUCGACCUCGCCAAUGCCACCGCCUCGUCGUACUCCUGCUCCACGUCCCUGCAGCCCGCGGCCGGCGGUGGCGGCGGCGGCGGCUUCCGGAAGGACACCCAGGCCCACACGCCGGACCUGGGGCGCCGCUGGUCGCCGACGGCUCCGUGCGCGGCGACGGAGCGCGACCGCUCGACCCGGCGCUCCCGCUCGAUGAGGCUGUGGACCCGGCCCAGCGCGCUGGCGCCCGAGGACGAGGACGAAGGCGACGACGACGCGCAGGAGCAGGCGCAGGGCCGCGGGCAGGCGCAGUCCGGGCACAGGCGCAGGAGCCGGUCGCGGAGGCAGUGCGGGCACACGCCGCCGCCGGCCGAGGGCGGGUGCCUCCGGCAGCGCCACUCGUCCAUCGCGCUCGAUCCGUUCCGUGCGGGUUUGGAGGGCUGUGCGUCCGCUCGCGAUCGCGGGACAGAGAGACGCCCGGGAGGCAGAGGAGCGGCCGCCCG